GAGAUUUAGGUUAGCUAUUAGGAAAAACUUCCUAACUAUAAGGGAAAUUAAGCUCAGGAAUAGGCUUCCAAGGGAGGUUGUAGGAGUUUUUAAGAACAGGUUGGACAAAUACCUCUCCGGUAUGGCCUAGGUUUACUUGCUCCUGCCUCUGCCCAGGGGGCUGGAUAAGAUGACCUCUUGAGGUCCCUUCCAGCCCUACACUUCUGUGAUUCUAUGUGUGGCUUCAGGACUACAGUUGGCGUGUUCUGUUUGGUAACAGUGCAGACCAGUUCCACUUAAAGCUGGUUGUCCUAACAGCUGAUGAGAGCAUCUGGUGCAGGAGCAGAUUACUAGUCAGGUGUAUGUGGCCAUACCUUUGAUCUCCUGGGACGAGGGCAGGGUGGGGACAAGUGACGUGGUAGAACUGAUGCUAUAGCCCUGGAUUUUUAUUAGGUAAAGAAAAUUGUUUAACUACAAGCUGUUCCCUUAAAGAUGUUUAGGUUGGGGAGAAGAGGGUUGGUUUACAUUGCUGUGCCUUUCAGAGUCAGGUUUUUUGUUUGUUUGUUUUUUUAAACUGGAGUAAGUGGUAGAAAUAGUGGAACGUAAUCUUGCAAGAGAACCCCCCUGGUUCUGCUUCUGGGGGGCUCAGGAAGCCGAUACAAUGGCUGGCUUUCCAAAGUGGGUUAUGAUGACACCAUCCUACAGGGCAGAAGGGCUCAUCCGCUAUUGACUGUUUUCAGUUGACAUUUUACUUUCAAACCAAAGAGCAAAUGUGGCCAAAGCCUCUAUGGGGUAAAACGUGUUAAACUCUGUAUCUGUGUUGCACUUCCUUUCUCUUCCGUUCUGACGUUUAUAGAGAGACACGGCUGGGGUAUCCGUAGCCCCACACCCUGGCUUCAAAACAUACGCCUGCGUCUGCUCAUGGUACCUAGCAGUCCCGGCCAGCUGUAACUCAGCCUUGAUAAAAUAUUGUUCACCGACGAGUUUAGCUUCCCUGAGCGCGGGAAGCCAGGCGCAAUAGCUCAAUAGCUGUCAGAUGUUAUUGGCUAGAUGGGGGUAUGUCUUGCGUGUGGCUGUUUCUCUAGAAGAUCAGAAGAAUAGGAAUGAAAAGACGGAACUUUUGGAAACUCAUAGAAAGGUGGGAUGGUGGGGGUGGCGGGGGGGGGGGUGCCUACAUUGUACCUCUGCAGCCGGGCGACUGGCUUGCAGACAACAUGUUCAGUUCUUCAUAGCUGUGUAUUUGCCUCCAGGAAGGAGAGAUUCCUUCUUACCCGUCUCUUUCUGUCCUUUGCCCUUUUCCUGUUUCCCUUCUUUCAGCAUAGCCACAGGAGGCCUUGACAUCUUUGUUUUCUCCCUCCCCAUGUCUCUUGUGAGCUGUUCAGCCGUCUUUGGGGAUUAUCCUUUUAUAACCACCUCGGGGUUGCUUUGCACCUCGUAUGUUGGCUUUGCUCUUUGUAAAGGAUGGUACCUUUUUCCCUUUUGCCAUUUUGAUUAUUUUUCUACUAUGGAUUUCUUUAAAAUAAAUACCUUUCGGAGACCAGUGGUAGUUCUCAUUUACUUGAAGACCUCUAAUGGUGGGGAUUUUAAAGGAACCUGAUGGAGAAGGUGCCCAGUUCCAUUGAAUUCCAGUGGGAUUUGAGCAACUAACUCAAUUGCGGUCUACAGAGCCAUUGCCUUGAGUGGCACAGCCAAAGCUAGGAAAGGAUUUACGCAGCCCUGUUCCUCAUUCUCUUUUAGGGUCAGUUCCAUCCUGGGCCUGUCAAUUCAGCCUUGCAUGCGGGGGUGUUGGCAACAAAGUAUGGGGAAAGUGUGUCCCAGUGCUCCUGUGUAGGAAACUGAGGUUGUGGAGCUAAGAGGAGACUGGUCAGCACAGCUGUAAAACAGGUGCCAGCCUGAGGCUAUGUCUACACUACGGCGGGCUCAAUGCUCCGGCGAUGGAUGCACCGGGGUUGAUUUAACGGGUUUAGCGAAGUCCCACUAAAUCGACGGCAGAGCGGUCUCCGAUCGAUCCCGGUACUCCACCAGGAACGAGAGGAGUAAGGUAACUCAACGGGAGAGUGUCUCCCAUUGACCCAGGGCGGUAAGUCAACCUAAGCUACGUCGACACCAGCUACAUUAUUCACAUAGCUGGAGUUGGGCAACUUAGAUCAAUUUACCGCGGUCGUGUAGACAUAGCCUGAGGAGUUGCAGUUUCUCCAAUAAAUUAUGUCCAUUGACGCUGUCAAGGCAAAUCUUGGUAGUAACUUAGUGCAGGGCCCUAAAGGGUUCAUGGGGUAGAAAUGGUCGGGUAGUGGUGUAUCGUGAUGCACACUGACACUGUGAAGAUGGAAUUUAAAAAACUUCAAUCUCUCCUUAAAUGGUUGUUCCUACUACUGCCGGUGGGGCUGUCACGCUGUAGCUCUCAAGGUGGAAGGAUAUCCUGGCUUCACCGUGAUGGGUACAAUCUACUUGUACCUGUGCCCUGGGUACAGUUGUCUGAUCUUGGUCCCAUAUUCAGUGAUUGCGUAGGGGCAUGAUGCGGAGCGAGAGUGUCCCCCUUAGAGCUGGGUGCUAAUGUGUGUGCUCAGCGUUGGGUUGCCAUGUGGCUUCUGGAGGAGUUGGUGCUGAUGAAAGUGAACAAUAAAGGGAAAAACUGGAGGAUGGAUGAGGACAAAAGCGGCGUGUGACAAUGGGUUGGCACAGUCUCCUGGCUCUCCGCUGGAAUAACUUGCCUGCGAGAUGUUUUUGGGGAGGAGAAGAGCACUUUUUUAUUUCCUUCGGGCAUUGCAGUCAACCCAGGACUGCAGCUGGUAACUGGGUGUUAACUAAUGAUGCAAAAACCUUAACCUUGAAUGUUAACUAUUCUUGAUCAAGCUGUGACACGCUGAGUUAACUCGCAGGAAGAUUUCUGUUCCUGUAUAUGCAGACAUCCCAUAGAGAUGCAAUAAGGACAGGCAAGUAUGAAUUUUGGGCUACCACUCCGUCUUGGGUUCUGGCAACUUGAGCGUCUCUUGUGAUUUGGGAUCCACUUCGUUCCUCUAUGGCACGUUCCCUGCUGGCCAUCUUAAAGCACAUUACAGACAUCCAGGAACUGAGCUUCCCAACAUCCCUAGACCUCUGAGAGCGAAUCCGUUUGCCAGAACCCCAAGGUGGAUUUCUAACCCCUAACUCCAGGUGCUUGUCUCUAAAGUUUUAUAUGAUCCAUGGAUCUGAUUUCUUUUCAGGGGCAGUUCUUCGGUGCAGUGGAGCCGGGUCAGUAGCAGAGGGCUUGUUGGCCCACCCACAGUCUCUGAUGGGGUGUCUCCCUCGGGAUCCUAUCCUGUAGCAGUCGCACCUUCAAAACAUUUCUCCCUUCUAAAUGGUCCUGCUUAUAAAUAUACAGCCCUAGAUCUCCAAGCACUAUGACAAAAGAAGGACCCUAGGCACAAGACCGCUGUGCUCGUCAAAACACACUGAGGCAUGGGCAGCAUGAGCUGAAACUUCCUUUGGAACCAGAGCUGUGGCAGCCAUUAUAUUGGUGCCCCUAUAAAGCUCUCGGGGAUGUAGAGUCGGGGUAAGGCUCCUUGCAGGCGAUGAACAUGGCCUUUACAGCAGCGUGAGUGGACUGAGCAACACAAAGUUCUGAGGUAGGUUUUAACUGCACAAUAGAAUUGGUGAACACUGAUUUCUGUACCAAAAGCUCCUUCUAACCCUGCUUGGAGGGGCCUGCCACACAGAAAUAAGUAUUAGUCUCUUAACUCCACUUUUCCAUUUUGUUAAAUGCCCUUGGCAAUGCCUUGUUCAAUGGCAGGUAACAGAAGCCUCCCUGCUACUCUUGGGUCUCAUCAAUGAACAAGAAAGUACUAUGAGAUCUUCCAAGCAACUAGACAGCUGGGGUGUCUGCCUGCUCUCUUCUGGGCCUGAGUCUGCCAUCCGGUCUCUCGCUGAGACGCCCCUACCUCCUGCAGGAAGUGGAACCAAUGUGUAUCUCCUGCCCUUCCCCACGGCCGCCCUUGGAUCCUGUGCGCUUUGGCUGUUGGACCUGACUGUCGGAGGCCAAGUAGAUUCACCUCUGGCUCCACACCCUUUCCUGUUUCCUGCCAUCUAGCGCCAAGGCUGGAGGUAGUGAGAGCGGCUGGGAAGGAAAACAGACACAGCAUUUGAUGAAGCACAACAAAUGGCUUCAAAUGCCUUCACUAGGUAACUAGCUUCUGAGAAAGCUAAGCCUUGGGAGAGAGCGCCAUGGAGCAAAACUGAGCUCAAACUGCCCCCCAGUGCCCGGAGAGAGAACAAGAUCCACACACCCCACAUUCAGGAGAAAUCUGGGCCAAAUAUAUCAAAGAAACAAGUGUAUUUACAAUUUCUAUUACACCUUUUCAUCUCCUGCCACUUCCAAUCCCACUGUUCCUUCUCCCCCUCCUCUCCCUUAUCAACACAGUUCUUCCCCAAAGCCUUUCAGCAAUGAGUCCUGCCCCUCCUGGCAGCUGAUAUCCUUAUCACAAAGGGAUAUUUACCACCAGUUUUCCAAGAAUGUGUCUACAUUAGAGCCCUGAAUCUCAUUUAUGCUAAGAUGGUGUAAAAGGGUUUUAAAGCAAGCAGAAAAACCCUUUAAGCUGCUGGAGAGCUAAAAGUGGCCUUAGUACAAAUGAGAAUUAGGGCUUAGAUAUUUUUUCCCCUUAAAAAUUCCAACUUCUGCCACCAGCGGUUCAUCUUAGUGGAGAACAUCUAUUGUUUGGGGGGGUUUUGUGUGUGAUUUUUUUGGUUGAAAUCUCUGAUUACACACAUUUAACAGACCAGGUAUGUCUGUCAAAUGUUACUAUUCAAAAAAAAUUGAACAGAUGUGCUGUUUUUUGGGGCAAGUGAGUGUACGCUGAGUAUUGAAUAAAUGGUAACAAUA
Long non-coding RNA from Chelonia mydas (Green sea turtle), 4834 nucleotides. RefSeq lists it as uncharacterized. Lineage: Eukaryota; Metazoa; Chordata; Testudines; Cheloniidae. The record is from RefSeq and is a predicted model, not a curated record. The transcript is spliced from 5 exons.